UUGAACGCUGGCGGCAUGCUUUACACAUGCAAGUCGGACGGCAGCGCGGGCUUCGGCCUGGCGGCGAGUGGCGAACGGGGGAGUAAUACAUCGGAACGUGCCCAGUAGUGGGGGAUAGCUCGGCGAAAGCCGGAUUAAUACCGCAUACGACGUGAGGGUGACAGCGGGGGAUCUUCGGACCUCGCGCUAUUGGAGCGGCCGAUGGCGGAUUAGCUAGUUGGUGGGGUAAAGGCCUACCAAGGCGACGAUCUGUAGCUGGUCUGAGAGGACGACCAGCCACACUGGGACUGAGACACGGCCCAGACUCCUACGGGAGGCAGCAGUGGGGAAUGUUGGACAAUGGGCGAAAGCCUGAUCCAGCAAUGCCGCGUGUGUGAUGAAGGCCUUCGGGUUGUAAAGCACUUUUGGCGGGAACGAAAAGGAUUGUGCCAAUACCACGGUUCGAUGACGGUACCCGCAGAAUAAGCACCGGCUAACUACGUG
Molecule: ribosomal RNA, 483 nt
Filed under: uncultured bacterium
Lineage: Bacteria
Description: partial 16S ribosomal RNA
Rfam family: Bacterial small subunit ribosomal RNA
Source: RNAcentral